UCACAUAUAAUUUAUCAGGUAAAAUAAGUGGUUUCCAGCCACUAAUGGCGGGUUCGAGCCCUGCUAUGUGAA
This 72-nucleotide transfer RNA is filed under the name Amphimedon compressa (erect rope sponge). RNAcentral's name for it is "tRNA-Gly". It matches the Rfam family "tRNA". Rfam says of the family: Transfer RNA (tRNA) molecules are approximately 80 nucleotides in length. Their secondary structure includes four short double-helical elements and three loops (D, anti-codon, and T loops). Further hydrogen bonds mediate the characteristic L-shaped molecular structure. tRNAs have two regions of fundamental functional importance: the anti-codon, which is responsible for specific mRNA codon recognition, and the 3' end, to which the tRNAs corresponding amino acid is attached (by aminoacyl-tRNA synthetases). tRNAs cope with the degeneracy of the genetic code in two manners: having more than one tRNA (with a specific anti-codon) for a particular amino acid; and 'wobble' base-pairing, i.e. permitting non-standard base-pairing at the 3rd anti-codon position. Lineage: Eukaryota; Metazoa; Porifera; Demospongiae; Haplosclerida; Niphatidae. The record is from RNAcentral.